CCUANGGGGGGCAGCAGUGAGGAAUAUUGGACAAUGGGCGCAAGCCUGAUCCAGCCAUGCCGCGUGCAGGAUGACGGUCCUAUGGAUUGUAAACUGCUUUUGCACAGGAAGAAACAACGCUACGUGUAGCGUCUUGACGGUACUGUGAGAAUAAGGAUCGGCUAACUCCGUGCCAGCAGCCGCGGUAAUACGGAGGAUCCAAGCGUUAUCCGGAAUCAUUGGGUUUAAAGGGUCCGUAGGCGGUCUUAUAAGUCAGUGGUGAAAUCUCCCCGCUCAACGGGGAAACGGCCAUUGAUACUGUAGGACUUGAAUUAUUAGGAAGUAACUAGAAUAUGUAGUGUAGCGGUGAAAUGCUUAGAGAUUACAUGGAAUACCAAUUGCGAAGGCAGGUUACUACUAAUGGAUUGACGCUGAUGGACGAAAGCGUGGGUAGCGAACAGGAUUAGAUACCCUGNUANUC
RNAcentral lists this ribosomal RNA (460 nucleotides) under uncultured bacterium. RNAcentral describes it as "bacterial SSU rRNA". It matches the Rfam family "Bacterial small subunit ribosomal RNA", at positions 338 to 795 of the family's 1533-position model. The record is from RNAcentral.